GAGAGAGACUCCUGAGCUAGCAUGCAGGCAGCAUGCAGCCUCUCCCGCAUCUGACUUACAAAGUGUAACACAUUCUUAGGGGUACUACUAGGCGCAUUAGAUAAAACGCGCUCCUUUAACACUUUUAACGGACCCCUAGGUGUGUGUCCGAACACAAGGUCAGCAGGGCUGAACCCCAACGAUUCCUGCACUGUUUCCCUAACAGCAAACAAAACAAAGGGCACCCCCUCAUCCCAAUCAGCACCCGUUUCCAUACAAUACUUCCUCAGCAUGGUUUUGAGCGUCUGGUGCCAGCGUUCCAGAGCUCCCUGACUCUCUGGGUGGUAAGCGCUGGAGACCUGGUGCGAUAUGGACAAUGUUUUUAAUGCAGAAGAAAACAGUUUGGACAUGAAAUUAGUUCCUUGAUCCGUCUGGAUCACUCUGGGGAGACCAAAGGUGGAAAAGAACUUAAUCAGACUCUUAAUAAUUGUCUUAGCUGUAAUUAUCCGGAGAGGAAUAGCCUCCGGGUACCGAGUGGCGCUGCACAUAAUGGUAAGCAGAAACUGGUUACCUGUUCGAGUUUUUGGUAAUGGACCCACACAGUCAACAAUCACCCUCUCAAACGGUUCUCCAAUCACAGGAAUCGGGUGAAGUGGCACACGAGGAACAGGGUUAUGAGCCAGUGACAAUACUUGCUGCCGUAAUGGUGAUGGAACAACUACCUGCCAAACUGUAUCCCAGUCCUCACCUGUUUUAUGUGCAGUCCAUUUACGCAUUAGAACACCAGCGUCCACAAGCCUCUCUGAUGUGAUGGAUGACAAC
Long non-coding RNA from Cyprinus carpio carpio, 801 nucleotides. The record is from Ensembl. NCBI's taxonomy places the organism in Eukaryota, Metazoa, Chordata, Actinopteri, Cypriniformes, Cyprinidae.